Molecule: long non-coding RNA, 14323 nt
Filed under: Populus trichocarpa (black cottonwood)
Lineage: Eukaryota; Viridiplantae; Streptophyta; Magnoliopsida; Malpighiales; Salicaceae
Description: long non-coding RNA (PTRI_LNC004123)
Source: RNAcentral
CAUCACCAGCUACUGUCACAUGUCCUUUGCUUAGCUUUCCAAAUAUGAUGCCCCAUGGCUGCCUAAACAUCAACGGUGCCCAUGUUAAUGUUGAAAGAUCAGCAUGGCGGACCACGUCUAGGUAUGUUGAAGGAAACUUUUCUACAUGUUUCUCAAGUACAUGUUUCUGUAUUUGUUCGGGCUCUCCUGCCAUCUUAUCUCCUGAAUUGAAAAUUAGUUCAGAAUAAAUGUUCCCCGCAAUGAUCUGACAUGAACGAUCAUUUGUGUCCAGCUAAAACGAGAAAUAAGGAAGGGUUUAGUGCUAACCGCUGUAGGUUAAAAACCAGUAAAGUUCUCUGUCAUUAAGAGGAACAAAACCAGCUCUUUUGCCCACAUCCACGAACUGAUGAACUUCUUGCUUAAAUCCAUGGCCUUGAGGAAAAACUGCUAAACCUCGCACAGCUGACCGCCCUGAAUGGACAGGUUCUGCCAGUCCUAGCCAACGUGCCACCACCGAGUUCACCCCAUCACAGCCUAUCAGAACCUUAGAUUUGAUUGUAGUUCCAUCUUCCAAAUGUAUAACAACAAUGGAAGCACCGCCUUGCUCUUCAUUUUCAAUGACAGCUAGCUUGGAAGAGAAUUGAAUUGAGUCAACCGGCAAUUCCUCUGCCAGUGCCUCUAACAGUGCUUUGCGGUGAAGUGUCCUAAUUCCUUGUACAUCGCCCCUAUUUCACACAAGACAAGGCAUUAAUUCACACCCAGAACUACGUCAUAGGAAGCGAAUGUUGAUGAGAGUGGAGUUUUGUCGGCAUACACAUGAAGGAAUCCGGUCUGUCCAUUAUAAAUCAAUAUUACUAUAAUAUUGAACCGACAAAAAUUUCUUUUAUGAUUCGUACAGCCAUUCAUACUACAGAUCCUUGCAUGAAAUUGUACUAAAAAAUUAAUCAAGAAAUUAUUUUAUUAAGGUUCAAAAAGUUUACCCAGUAUUGGCCACUCGGAAGAGGACUUGUUGAACAUCUCCAGCACUAACAUUGGUUACAUAUCCCCUAAAUCAUACAAGGGGAAAAGAAAAGUGCACAGGAAACUAAUCAAUCACCCAGAAGAUAUAUAAUAUUCAAAUUCAAGAAACGAUGGACAGACAUGAUCAAAAGAAUAGAAUUAGUGUAGAGGAACAACUUAUUACAUCGAUGUAGGAGCAUAAAUGGGGGUGAGCUUGUGAGAAACACCAAGAGCAUCAAGAGCAGGCCAAGCAUUUGGAAAUAGAGUCAAGGCUGCACCUGUGGCUCUUAGCCCUUCUGAUCUCUCUAACACCAGGGCUCGAACCCCUACUCUUUUCAAAGCCACUGCUGUUGCCAACCCUGCAAUUCCUGCUCCGACUAUCACCACAUCCUCCAUCAUUUCCAUCUCUCUCUCCCUCUGCGUGUAUGAGUGUUUCCUUCCACAGGGUGCCUCGUCUUGUUCUUAUUAUAACCCCAUGUGCUUGGACUCCAAGUCUGACCAUGACGCACUUGUAUACAUAGUAUCUUAAUGUUUUUCUUCAUGGUUAUCGAGCCACUUUGCGAGUUAAUAAAACUAAAUCUCUUUUUUUGAACUAUUUAAAUAAAUAAAUAAAAAACUAGAGGCGGCUCUUUGGUUAUUUAACGUAUAUUUUAAGAGAAUUUUUUUAUUUAAUUUUUUUUAAUGUUUUCAAUCGAUUUGAUAUAUUGAUAUCAAAAAUAAUUUUUUUAAAUAAAAAAAUAUUAUUUUGAUAUAUUUCAGAGUAAAAAACACUUUAAAAAAUAACAACUACCACACUCUCAAACAUCCUUUUAAAGAGCUGCUGUGACAUUGUAUUGUUUUAGGGUUUUCAUUUUAUUUUUGCGUUUCAAAAACGUUUUUGAAAAAAUUUAAAAUUUUUUAAUGUUUUUCUUUGCUUCAAAAUUUUUUUUGGUGUUUUUAAUUCAUUUUCAUGCGUAGAUAUUAAAAAUAAUUUUUAAAAAAUAAAAAAAAUAUUAUUUUGAUAUAUUUACUAGUAAAAAAUACUUUAAAAAAUAACAACAACCACCUUAAAAUGUGGUUUGUUAUAGUUGAGAUUAUAUUUUGUUGUUAUUAUUAUAGCUUUUGAAAGUGUUUUAAUUAAUUAAUAUAUAUUAGAUAUUUUACUUAAAAAUCUUUCUUGAAAUUUUUGUUAAAAAAAAUAUAAUUUAUAAUUAUUUUUAAACUAAUUGUUUUAAACACCACUGCAAAAACUACUAAGAUACUGUAUACACAUUUGUAUAACACAAUUUUUAGAACCAAAGGUAAUAUUAUAAUGUUUGUAUUUGUGUUUUAAAAGUAUUUUUUUAAAAAAUAAUUUUUUAAUUUUUAUUUACUUUAAAUUAAUAUUAUUUUUUUUAGAAUUUUUAGAUCAUGCAUUUAUCUCAAAAAUAAAUUUUUAAUAUAAAAAAAAUAUUAUUUUAAUAUAUACCACAACCACCAAACCCAAGGUGAACUUGUAAGUGCUCCUCCGAUGACAAGAUUCCAUACGUUUUGAAAUCGACAACGUUUGUUUAAACAAUCUCUCUCUCUCUCUCUCUCUCUCUCUAUAUAUAUAUAUAUAUAUAUAUAUUAAAGUAAAAGCAUUUUUGUUUGUGGUCGUGGAAUCCACAGCACAUACAAAUUAAAGUAACCCACAGCACAUACAAAUUAAAGUAACCCCUACCGCGUGAUAAAGAAUUGUUUAAGCCAUAAAGUUAAGCAAUCAUUUCAUAUUUUAUUAAAUUAAAUCAUAAUUAUUAAAUUUAGGCAACAUGAUGGGUCAAAGAACCAUCUCAACCCAAAAACUUAAGCUAUUAGGUGAGGUUCCAGAAUAUGAUUUAUAUUAUUCCCUAACACACCCCCUCAAGUGAAAACCCUUUGGGCUUGAAACUUGCACAGACCCACAUUACCUUGUGCUUAAUUUUUAUCAAAUAAAUAGGGAUGAUGAGAUUCGAACUCGAGACCAUUUGGUCAUCAAGGCUCUAAUACCAUGUCAAAGAACCAUCUCAACCCAAAAGCUUAAGCUAUUAGGUGAGGUCCUAGAAUAUGAUUUAUAUUAUUCUCUAAUAAGAUGAAACAUAAUCUAAACUAAAUUAUUAAUUGCAUCAAAUAAAAUAUUAAUUUAAUUAAUUUUUUUUAUUCAGUCAAAUUUAAAUUGAACUAGAUAUAAAAUAAUCACAUGAUCAAAUUCAUUGAUCUAAUUAGGAUUUUAAUUAUUUUAUUAACCCAACUAAACUGGAUUCAAAUUAAUCAACCCAAUAUCUUGUAAGAAAAAACUAAUGUUUUAAUAAAAAUAGAUGUUUUGAUGACUUAUAUAUUGACGUAAUAAUCUAACAAUCCAAGCAUUUUCCAAAAUUAUUACCUAAUCUGAGUUUGACACCUAAUUAAAAGUGAACAUGCAUGAUUGAAAGAAGACAAAACAUAACGACAUCUUUUCUCAUUUUCUCUAUUGAAAUCUCGAUGUUGGAGAGUAUAGUGGUAAUUAUAAUUUAAUGUUUUUUAUUAGAAAUAUAUUAAAAAAAUUAUUUUUAAUAUUUGUAUGUCAAAAUGAUUUGAAAAAAAAUUAAUUUUAAAUAAAAAAAUUAAAAUUUUAAGAAAUGUAAUUUUAACAUGUUAGAGAAUUUAUAUCUUGGAAUCUCAUAUAACAAUUUAAAUUAUUGGGUUGAGUUGGUUUUUUGACAUAAUAUCAGAGAUUUAAUGACUAAGUAAUUAUAAGUUCGAAUUUCAUCAUCUCUAUUUAUUUGAUAAAAAUUAAACACAAGAUAGUGUGAGCUUGUGCAAAUUUCAAGUUUAAAAAACUUUAACUUAAAAAAAUAUAUUAAAAAAUAAUAUAAAUUAUAUCUUAAAAUUUUAUUUAAUAAUUUAAAUUAUUAAAUUAAAUUAAUUACUAAAAUAACCGGAAUACCAAAUACUACCUUAAUUCCUCUGUGUUUACAGCGUUUAAACUUUAAACGCAUGAGUCAGAUUUUUUAAGGGUAGGAUCUAGGAUCUUUAGUGUUGUGUCUAGAAGUGUUUAUUGAUAUAAUUAGGCGGGGUUAGAGUUUAUAACUAAUUUAAUUUUUAAUAUUUUAUAAAUUUAGAUGUGGGCAUUUUAUGAAUUUACAAAUCUUGCAAGGAGAAAAAAAAUCAUCAUAGUACGUUGUAACAGGUGUGAUUAAUUUAUUGCAUCACCUGGAUGGUCGAAUGAUUUGUUUUUCCUUGCAUGUGCCUGAGUCCAAGGUUAGGUAAGAUGUAGCUUCGAUCGAAUCAAUAAUAACAUAGAUUAAUUUUGAGUGGCAUAAUUUAAUUGAUAAAACUUUAAAUUUAUUUUUUAAAAAUCAUCAGUUUGAGUUUUUCAGAGCCACUAAAGAUUUACAUGGUCAUUAACUUCAAAACUCGUAAAAUUAACUGAAAUACAUACAAGCUCAUCCGGAUACUCACAUUAAUUUAAAAUAAUAAUAAUAAUAACAUAGGCCCAAACGUAAGACUGGCACAUGCCAGCAGUUGCCUGUGUUCAAGACGUUUGGUCUCCGCUUCAUUAAGGAUUAUAUAUUUACGUAUACUACUUUCAAUUUAAAAGUUUAAAAUUAUUUAUAUAUAGAUAUCUUAUUUUAAUUUUUCCAUUACUAAUGAAUAUUCUACCUACUCAUAUAAACAUUUAACAACACAAAAUCGAAAGUAUUUGUUCCGUAUAAAAUUAUUUAGUUUGAACAAAACAUUUUAUAAUUUAUUGUUUGGCUUGUUAACGAAUACUAUUUCAAAAUAGUUAUUUGGGGUUCGAAAUUAGUGAGAUGCUAGUUAGUUGAAGGUCGGAUUAAAUUUCCUUUUUGAUUAAAAAAAAUAAAAUUCAACCAUUGUUAUCAUGUUUUCUAACAGUAAAAAAUAAAUUUGAUUUGUAAAUUCAAAAUUUUUAGUGUACAUUUAAUAAAAUUGAUUGAGGUUUUUAUACACUAAUAAAUUUUUUUAAAGAAUUAUUAAUGCUAAAUAAAAUUCAAGUUGAAAAUUUGAAAAAUAAAUACAAAUCAAGACACCUAAUCUUGUUUUGCAAGGAGCCCUCAAAGCUUUUUUGUUUAUUAAUAUGAAAAUGUAUUUUUAUCUAUAUAAAAAGAGCAAUAAUAUAUUUAAAUUUCAUUGAAACAAAUUAAUUUUCUAGCAUUAUCCCUUUUUUAUCAAUACAUGUUACCUCUACAAAAAAAAAUAAUUUUUUUGUUGUUCUAUAUCAUUUAUUUAAUAAAAAUAAAAAUAAAAAUAAAAAUUAAUUAAAGCAAAUAUAAAAAAAAUCUUGGACGCUUUAAGAUAAGGAUAAAACAAGCAUUUGUCUAAUUAAAACCAUUUUAUCUUAUUAACAUGCUUAAGAGAAGUUUUUUUUUACAACAUUUUAUCUUGAUUAUAAAAGAAAGUAUUAAUUUUUUUAAAUGAUAUUCUAGGAAUUUCAACACAAAUAUAUUAAAAAAAUAAAAAUAAUAUAUUGUUUGCACGUUGUCGUGGGGAACUCUUUGGUAGCGUUAUUAAACUCGGUUUUGCCUGGUAGGUCAACCUAAAGUCACUUUGACCUGGCUCCUACCUUGGCUCAAGUUUCAAAUUAAAUAGUAUAGGAAUUGACAUAAUAUAAUCAGAUCAAUUUGAUGAGUCUAAAGUAACCCAAUCAAAACCUGAUUUGAAUUAAAAAAAUUAUAAAUGCUAGUAUUUAUUUAUUUAUUUUAUAGAAAAAUAUAACACAACAACAUUCUAAGUCGAUUCAGGUCUUCAGGUUUGGCCUAAUUGACUAGGUUGAUUAGGCAAAAACCAGUUGUUUAAAAGAUUAUUAAAAAACAACAUUAAUCUAACUUUUUUAUAUAUAAGAAAAAAAUAUUGGAAUGAUGAUAUUUUAGAUAGACCUAAGUUAAGUAUGUUAACUCACCUAACUUAUGAUGAAGAUCAUAAUCCUUGCUUUAAUAACCAUGCCUUUUGAAAUCUUUUUUUUUAAUUGAAUGAUUAACAAUUUUAAAAAUUAGAGGAAGGGUGUCAAUUAAAUAGUAAAUAAAAAUAAUAAUGCAAAAUAAAAAAAACUCAUAUAAAGAAGGGUAUUGAUUAAAAUUUAAAAAAACAAAAAAUAAAAACAAAUAACAAAACAUAAAGCACUAGGUGUGGUUGGGCCUAGCAGACUAGCCUUGUGUGACUAACCAAUAACCCAAAAGCCUAGGUGCACCUCGGCCUGAAAACCCAAGCCCGAGCAACAAGGUUUAUUGUUUUUGUAAGGAUGGAUGACAUAUCAUCUAUGUUUUCUAAAAAAAAAGAUAACAUGUCAUUUGUUGUGGUGGAUAAUGAGUUGUCAUGAAGUCCAGUUUCUAACCACCAAAGUGAUUGGGAAACCAAAGUUAGUUCUUAUAGGAUCUAAAAGUUAAUUUUCUAAUCUAUUUUUUUCUUCUAAACACAUCUAAUAAACACCCUUAAAGUCUCAACAAACUAAAUUCGUAAAAAAUAUUAUUUGUUAGCCCAGAUCUACUUUUUUUGACAAAAAAAACACCAUAAUAUAACUCUUUCCAUCAAAUAAAACCUAUUGACUCAAAAAACAACUAGUUUUGUCAUUGAAAUUUGAACAACCAUCAAUUAUCUUUCUUAAAGAGAAAAAGAUGAAAACUAAUUAGUGGUGGAUCAAUGAUUUAAUGACAAAUAUAGCUUUUAAAAUAAUUUUCAUCUCUUAAAAACAUAAUUAUUAAACAUGACCUGAACUCUAAAUUGAUAAAUUGAUCUAAAAAAUUUAAAAAUCAAAGUUUGACACAAGAUAAAUUUUUAAUUGAAUCAGAUAAAAUACUAAUCUUCCAAUCCUCAAUCAACUUGAUAAGUUUAAUGUUUUAUAGAAGAAAAAUAAAAAAUUGUUAUUUUAAUAAAAUAAUUAACCUAGUGACCUAUUGAUUGAUAUAAUAACCCAAUUAUUCACAUCAAUCUCUAGAUUGGUCUGAAAACUAUUCUUAAGUUAUUUUUCUAAGUUUUCAAUUUCUUUUUCUUUGGACAAAAAGUAUUUUCUAUUACCCAAAUUUUCUUAGAUAAGAAAGCGAACCAUAAACAGUAAACACACAUAUAUAACAAUAAUGUGAGGCAAAUAAUAAUAUAAAAGCAAAACAACAUUGACAAUAACUUGGAAGAAGAAAAAGACAGAAGCAAAAGAAAAUUCGUAUUUCUUACCUUCCUCUUCACUAUGAUAUUAUUCUUACUUUGACUAAUUAAUGAGACUUUUUUUUUUUUUAAAAAAAAGAAGACAAAACCAACAAAGAAGAAAAAGACUAACGCUACCUUCCACUUCAAUAUGAUAUUUUGAUAGCAGCAGCAAGAGGCUAACUAUGUUGAAAUUGAGGGCAAUGCUCUAAAACAUAACAAUUUGCAGAAUCACUUGUCAGCACUGAAAUUUAGUCCUUCUUACUGGACAGAUCCAUUGCACCAAAGGAAAUAGCAGGAAGUCUUCCGCAGUCAUAAACAAAUACUAGUCUAGAAAGCCAGCCGAAAAAAUACUUGUAAAGUGCUCUGUCCCUGAGAAAUUUUAUCCACCAUUUAUCUCCUUGCUGCAUCCGUCCUGAUAAAUACGAUGCUGUGACAACCAUAGCGGCACGCCACCUCCUUUCCUUGACAUAAUCAUCUAUGGCUUUAGCCAUGUCUCCUGGAACAAUCAGGGCUCCAUUGUUUAUAAAUGAAUUGCCAAUGUGUCUGCCCAAUACCACAGCAUCUUCUAGUGAUGCACCACCACCGUUUCCUAGAUCAGGAGUCAUGGGGUGCAUAGCAUCACCAGCUACUGUCACAUUUCCUUUGCUUAGUUUUCCAAAUAUGAUCCCCCAUGGAGGCCUAAACAUCAAUGGUGCCCAUGACAAUGAGGAAAGAUCGGCAUGCCGCACCACGUCUAGGUAUUCUGAGGGAAAUUUUUCUGUACAUUUCUCAAGCACAUCCCUUUGCAUUUUCUCUGCCUCUCCUGACAUCUUUUCCCCUGAAAUCAAAAUUAGCUCACUAUAAAACUUUCCCUGAAAUGAUCUGAUCACAUGAACCAAUAUUUGUGUCUUGCUAAAAUGAGAGAGAAAUUAAAGGGAUGAAGAGUGCUAAGUGCUAGCCUUGGCCAGAAAAAAACCAGUAAAGUUCCCUAUCAUUAAGAGGAACAAAACCAGCCUUAUCGCUCUCAUCCAAGAAAAAACGAACUUCUUGUUUAAAUCCAUGGCCUUGAGGAAAAACUGCUAAACCCCGCACCGCUGAUCGACCUGAAUGGACCAGUUCUGCCAGUCCUAGCCAUCGUGCCACUACCGAGUGCACCCCAUCGCAGCCUAUCAGAACCUUAGAUUUGAUAGUAGUUCCAUCUUCCAAGUGUACAGCAGCCAUGGAAGCAUCACCUCCUUGUUCUAGACUUUGAAAAGCAACUAGCCUCGAAGAGAAUCGAAUUGAGUCAGUUGCCAAUUCCUCUGCCAGUGCCUCUAACAACACUUUACGGUGAAGAGUCCUAACUUGUCGAGGGUAGAGGACUUCUCGAACUUCUCCGGUACUAACAUUAGUUACGUAUCCCCUAAAUCGUGAGAAAAAGAAGUUCACGAGAAAUUAAUCUAUCAUCCAAAGCAUGGUAUUAAAAUCCAAAUUCAAGAAUUUAUAAAUAAUCAAACAUAAUGAAAAGAAAAAAUUAACAUGGUGAAACAAUUUAUUACUUGGGUGAAGGAGUAUAAAGGGGGAUGAGCUUGUGAGAAACACCAAGAGCAUCAAGGGCAAGCCAAGCAUUUGGAGAUAGGGUCAACGCUGUACCAGUGGCUCUUAGCCCUUCUGAUCUCUCUAACACCAGGGCUCGAACCCCUACUCUUUUCAAAGCCACUGCUGUUGCCAACCCUGCAAUUCCUGCUCCAACUAUCACCACAUCCUCCAUAAUUUCCAUCUCUCUCUCCCUCUGCGUGUAUGAGUGUUUCCUUCUACAGGGUACCUCAUCUUGUUCUUAUUAUAACCCCAUGUGCUUGGACUCCAAGUAUGAUCAUGACGCACUUGUAUACAUACCUUAUCUUGCAAGUAAUUAAGAAAAUAAUGUUUUUCUUCAUGGUUAUCUAGCCAAUUUGCGAGUUAAUAAAACUAAAUCUCGUUUUCGAACUAUUUAAAUAAAUAAAUAAAAAACUAGAGGCGGCUUUUUUGGAGAAAAAAAGAAAGAAAGAAAGAAGAAAGGCAAUCUCAUUGGUCAUUUAAAGUUUGUAUGAAAGAACUUUCGUUUUCAAAGAACUUUUUGUAUCAAAAUGUAUGAAAUAGGAAUUUGCCAUCUUCCAUCGUGUAAUGCAAUAAAAAUAUCUGUGCUUUGAUUAAGUCAAUAAAAAUAUCUGUGCUUUGAUUAAGUCAAUAAAAAUAUAGACACCAAACUGAAAUUUGCACUAACUCGAGUUAGAGUAUGAUCAAGCCUACAAAGUACAAACACUCCAUAACAGUACUAAAAGAAACGGUUUUGACUGAAUUUUUAUUUUUUCAGAACAUAAAUUAUAAAUUACAGGGUAUAGAAAGACAUGUUUUUAUGUUAUUUGUCUCGAGACAGUAAUCAAAUAAUAUAAAAGACUCGUUAACUAGUAAUUGAGAGCCAUCGUCUGAAACCACUCAUCUGCAGAAUCUAUAUGCCAAAAUUGAAUCUAGUCCUUCUUACUUGAGUGAUCCAUAUCACCGAAGGAUAUUUAAGAUUUGAAAUUAAUGAAAUAAAAGUGUUACAAAAAUUAAAAAUAAAAAAGGAUGGAAACUAACUUGUGGUGGAUCUAUGAUUUAAUGACACAGUCUUUUAAAAUAUCUUCAUCUCCUAUAGAAGUAAUUAUUAAAUCUACCUCAUCUCUGCAUGAUGGCUUGAAAAACUUACAAUCCAAGUAGCAAGACUCAUUCAAUUCUGAGUGUUUUUAAAAAUACAUUGUUUUUUAAAAUAUUUUUUAUUAUAAAAUAUAUUAAAAUAAUUUUUUUAUUUUUAAAAAAUUAUUUUUAAAAUCAACACAUUAAAAUGAUCUAAAAACAUUAAAAACAUAUUAAUUUAAAAUAAAAAAAUUAAAAAAAUUAAACUUUUUCACGGUAUAAAACACUGUCCGCUUAAGUUAAUAAUAUCUUUUAAAAAAAGUUUUCCUGUUAAUAAAAUAAUCAAUCAUGUAACCUAUGAGAUGACAUGAUAACGUAGUGAUCCAGGCUUUUUUUUUCUAGGUCAGCCCAUGAAUUGGUGUGGCAACUAUACUUAAAUCUCAUAAGUUAUGUUUUUAAUUUAUUUUCCUUGACAAUAAAAUAUUUUUUAUUACCCAAAUUGUUUUAGAUAAGAGGGUGCAUAAUAUAUUUAUGAAGCAUAUUCUACAUAAAACAAACUUAGUUAAAUAUUAUAGAGGAUGAUACCUACAAUAAUGUGAGGUAGCAAAACAAAACAACACUGACUAAAACAUAAUGAAAAAAGCAGAACCAAAACAAAAUUCUGACUACAUAAAAUAAGAUUCGAAUAUUAUUUUGAAAUUGGCAACCUCUAUCUCUACAAGUUGUAUGUACGUCUCAGCCUAUCGCUUCUGUAGCUGGUGGUAGAUAGAAAUUUCUGCAGCAGGAAGAUGGCACACCAUGAGGCAACAGAUGAUUGCUUUCAGCAGAAAUCCCUUAGGCAAAUACCGUUUGACAAGUCAACAGAGUCUCUCUCUUUGAACCAAAUUCUUUUUGUCAAAUCGGAUAGACAAGCAGAGGGUAAGAAACUUUGAAAAAUCUCUAGAAACCCUUGGAAGAUUUCUCUUUAAACUAAUCUUAGUUGUUAAUAGUUCAGGCUUUUAUUAAGAGAAGGCACAACAUUAAGAGGGUAUUCAAAACUUUUUGGUUAAGACCAUGAGAUCAUCGAGAGCUAUCAACAAAGGUAUAAUGAUUGUAACGUGUUUCUCGUUAUUUGUGAAAAAUAAUUUACAUUUUGAUAUGUAUAUGCACAACAUAAAAUUCAAAUCCUAUGUUGUUAGAAAAGAAAUCAGUCACCAUAUUUAUAUAUUUUGAUAACCACGUUAGUAAUUCGGCGUCGUCAGAACCUCCAAAAUAUAUUUCUAACUUUACUAUCACAAACAAAAUAAAUUCUUAGUAUAAUCAUGAUGUAACAUCCUCAAAUUAUAAUGUCAUAAAGUAUCAUAUUAGAAGGCUCUAUGCAAAUUUUUCAGAAUUUUCUGAUAACCCGAUCAAGAAUUACAAAUUUUUUUGUUUUACAUGAAACUAGUCAAUUUAUGAUUUUUCGCCUAGAGAUUUUACACGUGAAAACCAGGUUAAACUCAAGGGAAAUUUCGUUUAAUAUUUCUAUAAUAUACUGAAAUGAAAAAGAACAAAGGAUUUGAAUAAAAAUUAAAAAAAACAAAAUUCUGAAAAUAAAAUUAAUAAAUUGAUAUGUUGUUAACUCAGUUUAAAGGUUCUUACAUCCAUUUCUAUAAAUUUGUUGAUCAUCUAAGUAAAAUAAAUAUUCUUUUAUGUCAAGCAAAUAAAUUUGAUAUCCCUUAAAAUAGAGAGAAAUCGAUGAGAUUACGAGUACAUUAAUUAGACAAAGCUCUCUAAUCAAUUUCUUACCAUCAAACGAAUUUAAUAUUGAAAGCAAUUCUUAUUCACUCGGCAGUAGCCUUAGUAGUAAAGUCUGUGAAAUUAUUCUAAGCAAACUUUCAAAAGCUUGACAAUUUAACUUAAUUUAUUCUUUCCUAAUAAAUCAACAUGAGAAUUGCAACAAUCAAAUUAAUUCUUUUGCCUCUUAUUUUAGUCCCUAACAACAAUCACGGAUUGAAUGAAAUUAAAAAGCAUACAUGUCAUCUCAAAACAAUUCAAUAAGCUUGAAUAAUAGUCAAUAACAUAAUUCUGAAUAAGAAAAAAUAAAUAUUAAUUUUGAAAGAAUUACAAUGAUAACAUUACUUCUCAUAACUUGUUAAUGGAGAUGGUGUGUAUUUCUCUUGAACUAAAAGCCAAAGUUUAGUUCAUAACUGCUAGAGAAUUGACAAAAACAGAGAAAAAAAGAAUGUUGCAAAGCCUCUAUUUCAGUUGUGUUCUGCUCUAUUUAUUCUCUCCCUUGGCUGUCGAAUUUCUUCAGAAUUCUUAGGUUAAUUAGAAGUCCUUAUGCUACUUAACUCCUUCCUUCUUUAUAUGGUCCCUAAGGUUGGUUAAAUCUCUUAGAAUUUGGUUGAAAAUAGACUCUGUUGCUGUCACAACUUUGUUGUAAUUCCAACUCUGCUGCAACUUAGACUUUGUUUCUAACAUGAUUUCUUGCAAUAUUCGACCAUUUCAGCUAUAUUCUUUCAUUCAUGGCAUGUUAGAGGCUUGAUUUACGCCUUUCAUAGGUCCUAAGGCCCACCUUUUCUAUGCCAGACUAUUAGCUGUAAUGUGAUGCUCGGCACUGUUAGUUUCCUCAUCAAAUUAGAAGACCAAUCUCAUCCUUCAGAUUGCGUCCAACAGUUUGUCUUCAAAACGAUUUUAUCUGACCUGGAAUCCUUCAUAAAAGUUGUAGCCCUAGAUGUGUAGAUGAUUUUGGGCUUUUGAAUCAUAUGAUUUUGAUGUUUGAGACUCAAAGAUAUACUUAUUUGAAUCUGUAAUGUGAAAGUAGAGGAUUUUGUUAUUGCGGGUCUGAUUAGAGGUCCAAUAGAAUUCAUAUUUCUACCCAUAAUACCUUUCUAGGAAGCUUGAUAUGUUUACUUCAACUUUUAUUUAGCCCAUGUCCACAUUAUAAAAUUAUAACUUAGUAAACACUUGUCAUAUGAAGGAAAGUCUGAAACAUAAAAUAUAGAAAUUCUUAUAUUUUAGCAAUUAAUUUACAAGUUUCCUAUACAUACUAAACUCAUAAAAAUAACUUUUAAUAAGCCCAGAUAAGUUCAAAAUACAUAAAAUAUCUAUAAAGUAAUAAUAAAAACAUAUGUAUAUUUUGCACUUAUCAGUCAUAUUGUAAAAAAUAAUAAUUUAAAGUAAAGAAAUAUUAUUUAGUGCAUUUAGAUGAAUAAAUUAUUUUGAAUGGUGAUACCCAAAUUUGAAUUCAAAAAAUUAAAAUAAUUUCUCUUAAAUACCAACCUCACCAUUCAAUUUACAUAAAUGAUAUUUAUUAUAUAUACACACACACAUUAGUUUAUGCAUGGAUUUCUCACCUUACUGGGGUAAAAUGAAUGAGUUCUACAACAUCUUAUUUGCAUAUUUUUUGAAAAGUUGUUAAUUAAUGAUGCCAAACAUUUAAUUGGUGUUGAUAAUCACGAGAUUUCUUAAAUAACUUUCACACAUCUCAUUUGAGUAGACACCCAAAUUAGACUCCGAGUAAGUGCUUUUUUUAUUUUAGAAUUUUGAUUUUUCUUGCCUUGUAAAGAUCAAUUUCUAAUCUAAAAAAUGAUUAGAUUAGAAAUAGGAAUUUCCCAUCUUCCAUUGUGUAAUGCAAGAGCCUUUGGGUCUAAAUACAUUUUGUUAAUUUAUCUCUGCUUCGAUGGAGUCAAUAAAAAAUAUAGGCACCAAACUGAAAUCUGCACUAGCUCGAGUUGGAGUACGAUCAAGCCUACAAAGUACAAACACUCCAUAACAGUACCAAAAGAAACGGUUUUGAGUGAAUUUUUAUUUUUUCAGAACAUAAAUUAUAAAUUACAGAGCAUAGGAAGACAUGUUUUUUUUUUUUUUUUUCAUCUCGAGACAGUAACCAAAUAAUAUAAAAAGACUCGUUAACUAGUAAUUGAGAGCCAUCGUCUGAAACCACUCAUCUGCAGAAUCUAUAUGCCAAAAUUGAAUCUAGUCCUUCUUACUUGAGUGAUCCAUAUCACCGAAGGACAUAGCAGGAAGUUUGCCACAAUCUUUAUGCACAAGUCCAGAAAUCCUGCCAAAAAGAUACUGGUAAAAUAUUCCAUCCCUUAAAAAUUUCAUCCACCAUUUAUCUCCACCGAGCUGCACCCAUCCUGCUAAAUAUGAUCCUGUGACAAGAAAAGCAGGACGCCACCUCCUUUCCUUCACAUAAUCAUCUAUGGCUUUAGCCAUGUCUCCUGGAACAAUCAGCCCUCCAUUGUUUAUAACUGAAUUGCCAAUGUGUCUGCCCAAUACCACAGCAUCUUCUAGUGAUGCACCGCCGCCUUGUCCUAGAUCAGGAGUCAUGGGGUGCAUAGCAUCACCAGCUACUGUCACAUUUCCUUUGCUUAGCUUUCCAAAUAUGAUCCCCCAUGGCUGCCUAAACUUCAACAGUGCCCAUGUUAACGUUGAAAGAUCAGCAUGCCGGACCACGUCUAGGUAUGAUGAAGGAAACUUUUCUGCAUGUUUCUCAAGUACUUGUUUCUGUAUAUGUUCGGGAUCUCCCGUCAUGUUAUCUCCUGAAUUGAAAAUUAGUUCAGAAUAAAUGUUCCGUGCAAUGAUCUGACAUGAACGAUCAUUUGUGUCCAGCUAAAACGAGAAAGAAGGAAGGGUUUAGUGCUAACCGUUGUAG